Molecule: transfer RNA, 69 nt
Filed under: Cornufer vitiensis (Fiji tree frog)
Lineage: Eukaryota; Metazoa; Chordata; Amphibia; Anura; Ceratobatrachidae
Description: Platymantis vitiensis (Fiji tree frog) tRNA-Thr
Source: RNAcentral
GCCUCGGUAGCUUAACCAAAGCAUCAUCCUUGUAAAUUGAAGACUGUAACCUGGCCGUUACCCGAGGCU